CUGGGGCUGCCCGCGGGCUGCAGGCCGCUCCCUGCUGGACCGCCCCCCGGGACGCCUCCUGCUGGAGCGAGGGGGCGCCGCAGCCGCAGUGGGGCUACUCCUAGUUCACUUAACUGGAACAGCCCAGUGGAAGCUCAACAGUGAUGGAUGAUGCAGAUUCAUUAAAGAGCUGGAAAGGGGUGCAUUCCGUAGGAGAAAUCCAAACUCAC
RNAcentral lists this long non-coding RNA (209 nucleotides) under Vulpes vulpes (red fox). Its description in RNAcentral is "lncRNA (ENSVVUG00000010266.1)". Lineage: Eukaryota; Metazoa; Chordata; Mammalia; Carnivora; Canidae. The record is from RNAcentral.